UACGUAGGGUGCAGGCGUUAAUCGGAAUUACUGGGCGUAAAGCGUGCGCAGGCGGUCUUUUAAGUCAGCUGUGAAAUCCCCGGGCUUAACCUGGGAACUGCGUUUGAAACUGGAAGGCUUGAGUGUGGCAGAGGGGGGUGGAAUUCCACGUGUAGCAGUGAAAUGCGUAGAGAUGUGGAGGAACACCGAUGGCGAAGGCAGCCCCCUGGGCUAACACUGACGCUCAGGCACGAAAGCGUGGGGAGCAAACAGG
RNAcentral lists this ribosomal RNA (253 nucleotides) under uncultured bacterium. RNAcentral's name for it is "partial 16S ribosomal RNA". It matches the Rfam family "Bacterial small subunit ribosomal RNA", at positions 524 to 776 of the family's 1533-position model. The record is from RNAcentral.